This 492-nucleotide ribosomal RNA is filed under the name uncultured bacterium. Its description in RNAcentral is "partial 16S ribosomal RNA". It matches the Rfam family "Bacterial small subunit ribosomal RNA", at positions 29 to 507 of the family's 1533-position model. The record is from RNAcentral.
AGUGAACGCUGGCGGUAGGCCUAACACAUGCAAGUCGAACGGCAGCACAGUAAGAGCUUGCUCUUACGGGUGGCGAGUGUCGGACGGGUGAGGAAUACAUCGGAAUCUACUUUUUCGUGGGGGAUAACGUAGGGAAACUUACGCUAAUACCGCAUACGACCUACGGGUGAAAGCAGGGGAUCUUCGGACCUUGCGCGAUUGAAUGAGCCGAUGUCGGCUUAGCUAGUUGGCGGGGUAAAGGCCCACCAAGGCGACGAUCCGUAGCUGGUCUGAGAGGAUGAUCAGACACACUGGAAGUGAGACACGGUCCAGACUCCUACGGGAGGCAGCAGUGGGGAAUAUUGGACAAUGGGCGCAAGCCUGAUCCAGCCAUACCGCGUGGGUGAAGAAGGCCUUCGGGUUGUAAAGCCCUGUUGUUGGGAAAGAAAAGCAGCAGGUUAAUACCCCGCUGUUCUGACGGUACCCAAAGAAUAAGCACCGGCUAACUUCGUG